CGAAAAAUCACGUCGCGUUGUCGAAUCGCGUCCGGUGUGUCUGGACCUUUUAGACAUUUUCAAGCCGGCCUGGACUACCUGCCACACGUCAAUCUCUUGUCACCAAACAAGAAUAAACACAUGAUGCAUAAUAUCAUAGCUCACAGUAUGCUAAUCGCACGAGAAUUUCUCGUGACAGGAUCAAGUUCAUUUCAAUAAUAAACACUUUGCCAAAUAUGAUAGGAGCCUGUGUGUUUUAGGAUUCACGUGCCGACUUUUUAGCUUUGCUCAACCGUCUGACAGUUGACCUCGUGUUACCAACAAGCUACCAUACC
This is a non-coding RNA of Paramuricea clavata, 314 nucleotides long. The record is from the annotation of a GenBank genome assembly. NCBI's taxonomy places the organism in Eukaryota, Metazoa, Cnidaria, Anthozoa, Malacalcyonacea, Plexauridae.